This 301-nucleotide ribosomal RNA is filed under the name uncultured bacterium. RNAcentral's name for it is "partial 16S ribosomal RNA". It matches the Rfam family "Bacterial small subunit ribosomal RNA", at positions 509 to 807 of the family's 1533-position model. The record is from RNAcentral.
CAGUCGCCACGGUAAUACGUAGGGUGCAAGCGUUAUCCGGAAUUAUUGGGCGUAAAGAGCUCGUAGGCGGUUUGUCGCGUCUGCUGUGAAAACUGGAGGCUCAACCUCCAGCCUGCAGUGGGUACGGGCAGACUAGAGUGCGGUAGGGGAGAUUGGAAUUCCUGGUGUAGCGGUGGAAUGCGCAGAUAUCAGGAGGAACACCGAUGGCGAAGGCAGAUCUCUGGGCCGUAACUGACGCUGAGGAGCGAAAGCGUGGGGAGCGAACAGGAUUAGAUACCCCUGUAGUCCCUGUCUCUUAUAC